UCUGGCGGCAGUAGCGCGGUGGUCCCACCUGACCCCAUGCCGAACUCAGAAGUGAAACGCCGUAGCGCCGAUGGUAGUGUGGGGUCUCCCCAUGCGAGAGUAGGGAACGGAACUGCCAGGC
This 121-nucleotide ribosomal RNA is filed under the name Escherichia coli. The record is from RNAcentral. Lineage: Bacteria; Pseudomonadati; Pseudomonadota; Gammaproteobacteria; Enterobacterales; Enterobacteriaceae.